CAGUAGCCACGGUAAUACGGAGGAUCCAAGCGUUAUCCGGAAUCAUUGGGUUUAAAGGGUCCGUAGGCGGUCUUGUAAGUCAGUGGUGAAAGCCCAUCGCUCAACGGUGGAACGGCCAUUGAUACUGCAGGACUUGAAUUAUUGGGAAGUAACUAGAAUAUGUAGUGUAGCGGUGAAAUGCUUAGAGAUUACAUGGAAUACCAAUUGCGAAGGCAGGUUACUACCAAUUGAUUGACGCUGAUGGACGAAAGCGUGGGUAGCGAACAGGAUUAGAUACCCCUGUAGUCCCUGUCUCUUAUAC
RNAcentral lists this ribosomal RNA (301 nucleotides) under uncultured bacterium. RNAcentral describes it as "partial 16S ribosomal RNA". It matches the Rfam family "Bacterial small subunit ribosomal RNA", at positions 509 to 807 of the family's 1533-position model. The record is from RNAcentral.